This 497-nucleotide ribosomal RNA is filed under the name uncultured bacterium. RNAcentral's name for it is "partial 16S ribosomal RNA". It matches the Rfam family "Bacterial small subunit ribosomal RNA", at positions 28 to 507 of the family's 1533-position model. The record is from RNAcentral.
GAUGAACGCUGGCGGCGUGCCUAAUACAUGCAAGUCGAGCGAACGGACGAGAAGCUUGCUUCUCUGAUGUUAGCGGCGGACGGGUGAGUAACACGUGGAUAACCUACCUAUAAGACUGGGAUAACUUCGGGAAACCGGAACUAAUACCGGAUGAUAUUUUGAACCGCAUGGUUCAAAAGUGAAAGACGGUCUUGCUGUCACUUAUAGAUGGAUCCGCGCUGCAUUAGCUAGUUGGUAAGGUAACGGCUUACCAAGGCAACGAUGCAUAGCCGACCUGGGAGGGUGAUCGACCACACUGGAACUGAGACACGGUCCAGACUCCUACGGGAGGCAGCAGUAGGGAAUCUUCCGCAAUUGGCGAAAGCCUGACGGAGCAACGCCGCGUGAGUGAUGAAGGUCUUCGGAUCUUAAAACUCUGUUAUUAGGGAAGAACAUAUGUGUAAGUAACAGUGCACAUCUUGACGGUACCUAAUCAGAAAGCCACGGCUAACUACGUG